AGGACGAACGCUGGCGGCGUGCUUAACACAUGCAAGUCGAGCGGUGAUCCUCCUUCGGGAGGUGAGCAGCGGCGAACGGGUGAGUAACACGUGGGCAACCUGCCCCUCACACUGGGAUAACCUCGGGAAACCGGGGCUAAUACCGGAUAUGACCUCGAGCGGCAUCUCUUGAGGUGGAAAGCUCCGACGGUGAGGGAUGGGCCCGCGGCCUAUCAGCUUGUUGGUGGGGUAAUGGCCUACCAAGGCGACGACGGGUAGCCGGCCUGAGAGGGCGACCGGCCACACUGGGACUGAGACACGGCCCAGACUCCUACGGGAGGCAGCAGUGGGGAAUCUUGCGCAAUGGGCGAAAGCCUGACGCAGCAACGCCGCGUGAGGGAUGAAGGUCUUCGGGUUGUAAACCUCUUUCGAGCAGGGACGAUUGUGACGGUACCUGCAGAAGAAGCUCGGCCAACUACGCGCCAGCAGCCGCGGUAA
This 477-nucleotide ribosomal RNA is filed under the name uncultured bacterium. RNAcentral describes it as "SSU rRNA". It matches the Rfam family "Bacterial small subunit ribosomal RNA", at positions 26 to 523 of the family's 1533-position model. The record is from RNAcentral.